CCUACGGGAGGCAGCAGUGAGGAAUAUUGGACAAUGGUCGAAAGACUGAUCCAGCCAUGCCGCGUGCAGGAUGACUGCCCUAUGGGUUGUAAACUGCUUUUAUACGGGAAGAAAAACACCUACGUGUAGGUGACUGACGGUACCGUA
Molecule: ribosomal RNA, 147 nt
Filed under: uncultured bacterium
Lineage: Bacteria
Description: partial 16S ribosomal RNA
Rfam family: Bacterial small subunit ribosomal RNA
Source: RNAcentral